RNAcentral lists this ribosomal RNA (320 nucleotides) under uncultured eukaryote. RNAcentral describes it as "partial 18S ribosomal RNA". It matches the Rfam family "Eukaryotic small subunit ribosomal RNA", at positions 1470 to 1796 of the family's 1831-position model. The record is from RNAcentral.
CCCUUAGAUGUUCUGGGCUGCACGCGCGCUACACUGACAUACUCAGCAAGUUUCCUCGCCUGAAAGGGUUGGGUAAUCUUGUUAGUGUAUGUCGUGAUGGGGAUAGAAUAUUGUAAUUAUUGCUCUUUAACGAGGAAUUCCUAGUAAGCGCAAGUCAUCAGCUUGCGUUGAUUACGUCCCUGCCCUUUGUACACACCGCCCGUCGCUCCUACCGAUUGGGUGAUCCGGUGAAUGAUUCGGACUCUGGCUAUGCUAGCUACUAGCUACGUCAGGGAAAGUUUUGUGAACCUUAUCACUUGGAGGAAGGAGAAGUCGUAACA